GGUACUUUGGCCGAGCGGUCUAAGGCGCUGUGUUCAGGUAUGGGUUCUCCCACAUUGCCGUUUCGCAGUCUAGUAAUAGGCGAGGGUUCGAAUCCCUCAGGUAUCA
Non-coding RNA from Ilyonectria destructans, 106 nucleotides. The record is from the annotation of a GenBank genome assembly. NCBI's taxonomy places the organism in Eukaryota, Fungi, Ascomycota, Sordariomycetes, Hypocreales, Nectriaceae.